UGAGUAGGGCAAAUGGCCGCUGCUGCGAUACCGCAAGGCCGCAGGAGAGGAAAGUCCGGGCUUCACAGGGCAGGGUGCCAGAUAACGUCUGGUGGAGGCGACUCCAAGGAAAGUGCAACAGAAAUAAACCGCUGCCGGCAGUUUCUGCCGGCAGUAAGGGUGGAAAGGCAGUGUAAGAGACUACCGCCUGGCUGGUAACAGACAGGGCUCUGUAAACCCCAUCCGAAGCAAGAUCAAACAGGAAGCAUAAGGCGGCCCGUCUGCUUCCGGGUAGGUUGCUUGAGGCUGCUGGUGACGGCAGUCCUAGAUAGAUGGCCAUUCAACGACAUAACCCGGCUUAUCGCCCUGCUCAAUUC
Molecule: RNase P RNA, 356 nt
Filed under: Lachnospiraceae bacterium
Lineage: Bacteria; Bacillati; Bacillota; Clostridia; Lachnospirales; Lachnospiraceae
Description: RNase P RNA component class A
Rfam family: Bacterial RNase P class A
About the family: Ribonuclease P (RNase P) is a ubiquitous endoribonuclease, found in archaea, bacteria and eukarya as well as chloroplasts and mitochondria. Its best characterised activity is the generation of mature 5'-ends of tRNAs by cleaving the 5'-leader elements of precursor-tRNAs. Cellular RNase Ps are ribonucleoproteins.
Source: RNAcentral